CGAAAGCCUGACGGAGCAACACCGCGUGAGGGAUGAAUGCCUAUGGGUUGUAAACCUCUUUUCUCAAGGAAGAAAUUCUGACGGUACUUGAGGAAUAAGCAUCGGCUAACUCUGUGCCAGCAGCCGCGGUAAUACAGAGGAUGCAAGCGUUAUCCGGAAUCACUGGGCACAAAGCGUCUGUAGGUUGCUUAGCAAGUCUGUUGUUAAUGAUCAGGGCCUAACCCUGGGAAAGCAAUGGAAACUACUAGGCUUGAGUAUGGUAGAGGUAGAGGGAAUUCCUGGUGUAGCGGUGAAAUGCGUAGAUAUUAGGAAGAACACCAAUGGCGAAAGCACUCUACUGGGCCAUAACUGACACUAAGAGACGACAGCUAGGGGAGCAAAUG
This 383-nucleotide ribosomal RNA is filed under the name uncultured bacterium. Its description in RNAcentral is "bacterial SSU rRNA". It matches the Rfam family "Bacterial small subunit ribosomal RNA", at positions 376 to 774 of the family's 1533-position model. The record is from RNAcentral.